ACGACCUUACUUGAACAGGAUCUGUUCUAUAGGCUCGUACCUCUGUAUCCUUGAGUUCUAAGGAGACAGGAACCUAAGUCUGGUGGAUGAAUCAUGACCGUGCGACCAGAGCGUGAUUAAUGGCAUGGAUGAUCUGGUUACCUGGCCAUCCAGCUGUAGAUGAUCGUUCCCGUCCUGUUUCGGCAGGAUGAGAUGGUCGCGCGGUUGUCUGACAGACU
Molecule: small nucleolar RNA, 218 nt
Filed under: Nelumbo nucifera (sacred lotus)
Lineage: Eukaryota; Viridiplantae; Streptophyta; Magnoliopsida; Proteales; Nelumbonaceae
Description: Plant small nucleolar RNA U3
Rfam family: Plant small nucleolar RNA U3
About the family: Small nucleolar RNAs (snoRNAs) are involved in the processing and modification of rRNA in the nucleolus. There are two main classes of snoRNAs: the box C/D class, and the box H/ACA class.
Source: Rfam by way of RNAcentral